AGCAGUGGCCAUACCACCCUGAACAUGCCUGAUCUUGCCUGAUCUCCGGACCUAAGCAGGGUCAGGCCUGGUUAGUACUCAGACAGGAGACAUUUUAAUGACAGGUCUCCUCUCCAC
This 117-nucleotide ribosomal RNA is filed under the name Propithecus coquereli (Coquerel's sifaka). Lineage: Eukaryota; Metazoa; Chordata; Mammalia; Primates; Indriidae. The record is from RNAcentral.